Molecule: ribosomal RNA, 253 nt
Filed under: uncultured bacterium
Lineage: Bacteria
Description: partial 16S ribosomal RNA
Rfam family: Bacterial small subunit ribosomal RNA
Source: RNAcentral
UACGUAGGGUGCAAGCGUUGUCCGGAAUUAUUGGGCGUAAAGAGCUCGUAGGCGGUCUGUCGCGUCUGCUGUGAAAAUCCAGGGCUUAACCCCGGGCCUGCAGUGGGUACGGGCAGACUAGAGUGCGGUAGGGGAGACUGGAAUUCCUGGUGUAGCGGUGAAAUGCGCAGAUAUCAGGAGGAACACCGAUGGCGAAGGCAGGUCUCUGGGCAUUAACUGACGCUGAGGAGCGAAAGCAUGGGGAGCGAACAGG